Non-coding RNA from Lyophyllum atratum, 94 nucleotides. The record is from the annotation of a GenBank genome assembly. Lineage: Eukaryota; Fungi; Basidiomycota; Agaricomycetes; Agaricales; Lyophyllaceae.
GGGUCGAUGGCGUAGCUGGUUAUCGCAUCUGUCUAACAUAAAAGGGGACUGCGUUGUGCACAGAAGGUCCUCAGUUCGAACCUGGGUCGACUCA